UAGGGAAUCUUCGGCAAUGGACGAAAGUCUGACCGAGCAACGCCGCGUGAGUGAAGAAGGUUUUCGGAUCGUAAAACUCUGUUGUUAGAGAAGAACAAGGACGUUAGUAAUUGAACGUCCCCUGACGUUAUCUACCCAGAAAGCCACGGCUAACUACUUGCCAGCAGCCGCGGUAAUACGUAGGUGGGAAGCGUUGUUCGGAUUUAUUGGGCGUAAAGCGAGCGCAGGCGGUUUCUUAAGUCUGAUGUGAAAGCCCCCGGCUCAACCGGGGAGGGUCAUUGGAAACUGGGAGACUUGGGUGCAGAAGAGGAGAGUGGAAUUCCAGUUGUAGCGGUGAAAUGCGUAGAUAUAUGGAGGAACACCAGUGGCGAAGGCGGCUCUCUGGACUGUAACUGACGCUGAGGCUCGAAAGCGUGGGGAGCAAACAGG
Molecule: ribosomal RNA, 429 nt
Filed under: Gemmatimonadota bacterium
Lineage: Bacteria; Pseudomonadati; Gemmatimonadota
Description: Gemmatimonadetes bacterium partial 16S ribosomal RNA
Rfam family: Bacterial small subunit ribosomal RNA
Source: RNAcentral